CAGUAGGGAAUCUUCCACAAUGGGCGCAAGCCUGAUGGAGCAACACCGCGUGAGUGAAGAAAGGGUUUCGGCUCGUAAAGCUCUGUUGUUAAAGAAGAACACGUAUGAGAGUAACUGUUCAUACGUUGACGGUAUUUAACCAGAAAGUCACGGCUAACUACGUGCCAG
RNAcentral lists this ribosomal RNA (168 nucleotides) under uncultured bacterium. RNAcentral's name for it is "partial 16S ribosomal RNA". It matches the Rfam family "Bacterial small subunit ribosomal RNA", at positions 352 to 511 of the family's 1533-position model. The record is from RNAcentral.